AACCAACAGGGAUUGCCUCAGUAACGGCGAGUGAAGCGGCAAAAGCUCAAAUUUUAAAGCUGACAUCUUCGGUGUCCGCGUUGUAAUUUUGUGAGGCAUCUCCGGGUAGGGCGCCGGCCUAAGUUCCUUGGAACAGGACGUCACAGAGGGUGAGAAUCCCGUGCUUGGCUGGCUGUCCCCGUCCAUGUGAGGUGUCUUCGACGAGUCGAGUUGUUUGGGAAUGCAGCUCAAAAUGGGUGGUAAAUUUCAUCUAAAGCUAAAUAUUGGUGGGAGACCGAUAGCGCACAAGUAGAGUGAUCGAAAGAUGAAAAGCACUUUGAAAAUAGAGUUAAAAAGUACGUGAAAUUGUUGAAAGGGAAGCGCUUGAGACCAGACUUCGGUAAGGGGUGAUCAGCCGUCCUUCUGGGCGGUGCACUUGCCCCCCUCCGGGCCAGCAUCGGUUGAGGCGGCGGGAUAAAGGUCCCGGGAAUGUGGCUCCUUCACGGGAGUGUUAUAGCCCGGGUGAAUGCCGCCAGCUUCGACCGAGGACCGCACCC
Molecule: ribosomal RNA, 536 nt
Filed under: Morchella mediterraneensis
Lineage: Eukaryota; Fungi; Ascomycota; Pezizomycetes; Pezizales; Morchellaceae
Description: partial large subunit ribosomal RNA
Rfam family: Eukaryotic large subunit ribosomal RNA
Source: RNAcentral